CCUACGGGUGGCAGCAGUGGGGAAUAUUGGACAAUGGGCGAAAGCCUGAUCCAGCCAUGCCGCGUGUGUGAAGAAGGCCUUCGGGUUGUAAAGCACUUUCAGUGGGGAAGAAAGCCUUGGGGCUAAUACCCUCGAGGAAGGACAUCACCCACAGAAGAAGCACCGGCUAACUCCGUGCCAGCAGCCGCGGUAAUACGGAGGGUGCGAGCGUUAAUCGGAAUUACUGGGCGUAAAGCGCGCGUAGGCGGUCUGAUAAGCCGGUUGUGAAAGCCCCGGGCUCAACCUGGGAACGGCAUCCGGAACUGUCAGGCUAGAGUGCAGGAGAGGAAGGUAGAAUUCCCGGUGUAGCGGUGAAAUGCGUAGAGAUCGGGAGGAAUACCAGUGGCGAAGGCGGUCUUCUGGACCGACACUGACGCUGAGGUGCGAAAGCGUGGGUAGCAAACAGGAUUAGAUACCCCAGUAGUC
Molecule: ribosomal RNA, 465 nt
Filed under: Vreelandella stevensii
Lineage: Bacteria; Pseudomonadati; Pseudomonadota; Gammaproteobacteria; Oceanospirillales; Halomonadaceae
Description: partial 16S ribosomal RNA
Rfam family: Bacterial small subunit ribosomal RNA
Source: RNAcentral